GACGUGUAAAAAGCAUCAGGAAUAAGGGCUGGGUAAGACCGGUGCCAGCCGCCGCGGUAAUACCGGCAGCUCUAGUGGUAGCCACUUUUAUUGGGCNUAAAGCGUCCGUAGCCGGUCAGGUAAAUCCUUGGGUAAAUCGUACAGCUUAACUGUGCGGCUUCCGAGGAGACUGCCUGACUUGGGACCGGGAGAGGUUGGAGGUACUCCUGGGGUAGGGGUGAAAUCCUGUAAUCCUAGGUGGACCACCGGUGGCGAAGGCGUCCAACCAGAACGGCUCCGACGGUGAGGGACGAAGGCUAGGGGCGCAAACCGGAUUAGAUACCCGGGUAGUCCUAGCUGUAAACGCUGCAGACUUGGUGUUGGAGAUCCCACGAGGGUGUCCAGUGCCGGAGAGAAGUUGUUAAGUUUGCCGCCUGGGAAGUAUGGUCGCAAGACUGAAACUUAAAGGAAUUGGCGGGGGAGCACCGCAACGGGAGGAGCGUGCGGUUUAAUUGGAUUCAACGCCGGAAAACUCACCGGGAGCGACGUUUGCAUGAAGGCCAGUUCGAAGACUUUGCCUGAUUAUUCGAGAGGUGGUGCAUGGCCGUCGUCAGUUCGUACCGCAAGGCGUUCUGUUAAGUCAGAUAACGAACGAGACCCCUGUCCUUAUUUGCUAAGUUAUCCCUCGGGAUGACAGCACUAUAGGGAGACCGCCACUGCUAAAGUGGAGGAAGGAGGGGGCAACGGUAGGUCAGUAUGCCCCGAAUCUCCCGGGCCACACGCGCGCUACAAAGGAUGGGACAAUGGGCUCCGACACCGAAAGGUGAAGGCAAUCCCGAAACCCAUUCAUAGUUCGGAUUGAGGGCUGUAACCCGCCCUCAUGAAGCUGGAUUCCGUAGUAAUCGCGGAUCAACAUUCCGCGGUGAAUAUGCCCCUGCUCCUUGCACACACCGCCCGUCAAACCAUCCGAGUUGGGUCCAAGUGAGGGUUCUCUCUCUGGGGUGUCGAAC
This 989-nucleotide ribosomal RNA is filed under the name uncultured euryarchaeote. RNAcentral's name for it is "bacterial SSU rRNA". It matches the Rfam family "Archaeal small subunit ribosomal RNA", at positions 414 to 1408 of the family's 1478-position model. Lineage: Archaea; Methanobacteriati; Methanobacteriota. The record is from RNAcentral.